UACGAAGGGGGCUAGCGUUUUUCGGAUUUACUGGGCGUAAAGCGCACGUAGGCGGACGUGUAAGUCAGGGGUGAAAUCCCGGGGCUCAACCCCGGAACUGCCUUUGAUACUGCACAUCUUGAGUCCGGAAGAGGUGAGUGGAAUUCCUAGUGUAGAGGUGAAAUUCGUAGAUAUUAGGAGGAACACCAGUGGCGAAGGCGGCUCACUGGUCCGGUACUGACGCUGAGGUGCGAAAGCGUGGGGAGCAAACAGG
RNAcentral lists this ribosomal RNA (253 nucleotides) under uncultured bacterium. RNAcentral's name for it is "partial 16S ribosomal RNA". It matches the Rfam family "Bacterial small subunit ribosomal RNA", at positions 524 to 776 of the family's 1533-position model. The record is from RNAcentral.